Triticum dicoccoides is the source of this 396-nucleotide long non-coding RNA. RefSeq lists it as uncharacterized. The transcript has 3 exons. The record is from RefSeq and is a predicted model, not a curated record. NCBI's taxonomy places the organism in Eukaryota, Viridiplantae, Streptophyta, Magnoliopsida, Poales, Poaceae.
CGGGAGGGCUUGCGUUCGCCGCUCGACCAAAGCCACCGCGAGCUGGUCGUCGUUGCACUUGCUGGCGACCUGGCCGUCCCCUCUGCACCACUUUCACCUCAAAUUUGGACGCUCAUGUGCUUGUGGAUGUUCUCAGUUAUUUUUUGCACACAAGGUGUUUGUGUGUUUGUCUGAACCAGUUUCAGUCACAGAUCCUUGAGCCGACCUAAUUGAGCUAUCGGAGGUGUUGCGGUCUUUUAGCAAACAUGCCCUAUAUUCUAUGGUUUGGCAUCUACAGGAUGCCAUCUCUGGUCAUGGAUCCACUAUGGCUGCUUCGUCCUUCACUUAGGACCUUCUCACCCCCACAGAGAUCAGAGAGAAAAAUAUAUCUUGGAAGCAGGAACCCUUACCUCAUUA